This 253-nucleotide ribosomal RNA is filed under the name uncultured bacterium. Its description in RNAcentral is "partial 16S ribosomal RNA". It matches the Rfam family "Bacterial small subunit ribosomal RNA", at positions 524 to 776 of the family's 1533-position model. The record is from RNAcentral.
UACGUAGGAGGCGAGCGUUGUCCGGAUUUACUGGGCGUAAAGGGCGCGCAGGCGGCCUUGCAAGUAGCGUGUGAAAUCCACCUGCUCAACGGGUGGGGUGCAUGGUAGACUGCAGGGCUAGAGGACGGUAGAGGGGGGUGGAAUUGCUGGUGUAGCGGUGAAAUGCGUAGAGAUCAGCAGGAACACCAGUGGCGAAGGCGGUUGCCUGGAGCUUUGCUGACGCUGAGGCGCGAAAGCGUGGGGAGCGAUCCGG